GAUGAACGCUGGCGGCGUGCCUAAUACAUGCAAGUCGAGCGAACAGACGAGGAGCUUGCUCCUCUGACGUUAGCGGCGGACGGGUGAGUAACACGUGGAUAACCUAUCUAUAAGACUGGGAUAACUUCGGGAAACCGGAGCUAAUACCGGAUAACAUGUUGAACCGCAUGGUUCAACAGUGAAAGACGGUCUUGCUGUCACUUAUAGAUGGUUCCAGGCCGCAUUAGCUAGUUGGUAAGGUAACGGCUUACCAAGGCAACGAUGCGUAGCUGACCUGAGAGGGUGAUCGGCCACACUGGAACUGAGACACGGUCCAGACUCCUACGGGAGGCAGCAGUAGGGAAUCUUGCGCAAUGGGCGAAAGCCUGACGAAGCAACGCCGCGUGAGUGAAGAAGGUCUUCGGAUCGUAAAACUCUGUUAUUAGGGAAGAACAAAUGUGUAAGUAACUAUGCACGUCCUGACGGUACCUAAUCAGAAAGCCACGGCUAACUACGUG
Molecule: ribosomal RNA, 497 nt
Filed under: uncultured bacterium
Lineage: Bacteria
Description: partial 16S ribosomal RNA
Rfam family: Bacterial small subunit ribosomal RNA
Source: RNAcentral